This 761-nucleotide ribosomal RNA is filed under the name Pseudomonas sp. AD-C7. Its description in RNAcentral is "bacterial SSU rRNA". It matches the Rfam family "Bacterial small subunit ribosomal RNA", at positions 49 to 806 of the family's 1533-position model. The record is from RNAcentral. Lineage: Bacteria; Pseudomonadati; Pseudomonadota; Gammaproteobacteria; Pseudomonadales; Pseudomonadaceae.
UAACACAUGCAAGUCGAGCGGUAGAGAGAAGCUUGCUUCUCUUGAGAGCGGCGGACGGGUGAGUAAUGCCUAGGAAUCUGCCUAGUGGUGGGGGAUAACGUUCGGAAACGGACGCUAAUACCGCAUACGUCCUACGGGAGAAAGCGGGGGACCUUCGGGCCUCGCGCCAUUAGAUGAGCCUAGGUCGGAUUAGCUAGUUGGUGAGGUAAUGGCUCACCAAGGCUACGAUCCGUAACUGGUCUGAGAGGAUGAUCAGUCACACUGGAACUGAGACACGGUCCAGACUCCUACGGGAGGCAGCAGUGGGGAAUAUUGGACAAUGGGCGAAAGCCUGAUCCAGCCAUGCCGCGUGUGUGAAGAAGGUCUUCGGAUUGUAAAGCACUUUAAGUUGGGAGGAAGGGUAGUAACUUAAUACGUUGCUACUUUGACGUUACCGACAGAAUAAGCACCGGCUAACUUCGUGCCAGCAGCCGCGGUAAUACGAAGGGUGCAAGCGUUAAUCGGAAUUACUGGGCGUAAAGCGCGCGUAGGUGGUUCAGUAAGUUGAAUGUGAAAUCCCCGGGCUCAACCUGGGAACUGCAUCCAAAACUGCUGAGCUAGAGUACGGUAGAGGGUAGUGGAAUUUCCUGUGUAGCGGUGAAAUGCGUAGAUAUAGGAAGGAACACCAGUGGCGAAGGCGACUACCUGGACUGGUACUGACACUGAGGUGCGAAAGCGUGAGUAGCAAACAGGAUUAGAUACCCUGGUAUCCACGCCGUAAA